CGCCUGAUCCUGCAACAGGGCAUCCUCCUGACCUGGUAGUACUUAGGUGGGAAGGAUGGUUGGGGGCGGUUGGCCUAACUCAGGGA
Chlorocebus sabaeus (green monkey) is the source of this 86-nucleotide microRNA precursor. Lineage: Eukaryota; Metazoa; Chordata; Mammalia; Primates; Cercopithecidae. The record is from Ensembl.